Molecule: ribosomal RNA, 434 nt
Filed under: uncultured bacterium
Lineage: Bacteria
Description: bacterial SSU rRNA
Rfam family: Bacterial small subunit ribosomal RNA
Source: RNAcentral
AACGCGAAGAACCUUACCAGGUCUUGACAUCCCUCUGACCGGUCUAGAGAUAGACUUUCCCUUCUGGGCAGAGGAGACAGGUGGUGCAUGGUUGUCGUCAGCUCGUGUCGUGAGAUGUUGGGUUAAGUCCCGCAACGAGCGCAACCCUUGACUUUAGUUGCCAGCAUUUCGGAUGGGCACUCUAGAGUGACUGCCGGUGACAAACCGGAGGAAGGCGGGGAUGACGUCAAAUCGUCAUGCCCCUUAUGACCUGGGCUACACACGUACUACAAUGGCCGGUACAGAGGGUCGCGAAGCCGCGAGGUGGAGCCAAUCCCAGAAAGCCGGUCUCAGUUCGGAUUGCAGGCUGCAACUCGCCUGCAUGAAGUCGGAAUUGCUAGUAAUCGCGGAUCAGCAUGCCGCGGUGAAUACGUUCCCGGGCCUUGUACACACCG